GUCCUAUUGGAUUAUUUAAUAGGUCUGACCUGCCCAGUGAUAAUUUUAACGGCCGCGGUAUAUUGACCGUGCAAAGGUAGCAUAAUCAUUAGUCUUUUAAUAGAAGGCUGGAAUGAAAGGUUUAACGAGAAAUUAACUGUCUCAAUUACAAACUUGAAUUUAUCUUUUGAGUCAAAAGACUUAAAUAUAGUUGAUGGACGAGAAGACCCUAUAGAGCUUUACAGCUUUAUUUUUAAAUAUAUUUAGUACAUAAUAUAUUUUUAUUAAGAAUGUUGUUUUGUUGGGGUGACAAUAAAUAUAUAUUUAACUUUUAUCAUAUAAUUUACAUUAAUUUAUGAUUUGUGGAUCCAAAAUUUUUGAUCAAUAGUCUAAGUUACCUUAGGGAUAACAGCGUAAUCUUCCCUCAGAGUUCAUAUUUACGGGAAGGUUUGCGACCUCGAUGUUGGAUUAAGAUAAUAAUUAGGUGCAGUAGCUUAAUUGAUAGGUCUGUUCGACCUUUAAAUUCUU
RNAcentral lists this ribosomal RNA (507 nucleotides) under Enallagma circulatum. Its description in RNAcentral is "partial 16S rRNA". It matches the Rfam family "Bacterial large subunit ribosomal RNA", at positions 1829 to 2597 of the family's 2925-position model. The record is from RNAcentral. Lineage: Eukaryota; Metazoa; Arthropoda; Insecta; Odonata; Coenagrionidae.